RNAcentral lists this ribosomal RNA (375 nucleotides) under uncultured organism. RNAcentral's name for it is "bacterial SSU rRNA". It matches the Rfam family "Bacterial small subunit ribosomal RNA", at positions 525 to 896 of the family's 1533-position model. The record is from RNAcentral.
CGGUAGGGUGCAAGCGUUAAUCCCGGAAUUACGUGGGCGUAAAGCGUGCGCAGGCGGUCGUGCAGGACAGGUGUGAAACUCCCCGGGCUUAACCUGGGAACUGCACUUGUGACUGCACGGCUGGAGUACGGCAGAGGGGGAUGGAAUUCCGCGUGUAGCAGUGAAAUGCGUAGAUAUGCGGAGGAACACCAAUGGCGAAGGCAGUCCCCUGGGCCUGUACUGACGCUCAUGCACGAAAGCGUGGGGAGCAAACAGGAUUAGAUACCCUGGUAGUCCACGCCCUAAACGAUGUCAACUGGUUGUUGGGAAGGUUUCUUCUCAGUAACGUAGCUAACGCGUGAAGUUGACCGCCUGGGGAGUACGGCCGCAAGGUCG